RNAcentral lists this ribosomal RNA (253 nucleotides) under uncultured bacterium. Its description in RNAcentral is "partial 16S ribosomal RNA". It matches the Rfam family "Bacterial small subunit ribosomal RNA", at positions 524 to 776 of the family's 1533-position model. The record is from RNAcentral.
UACGUAGGGUGCGAGCGUUAAUCGGAAUUACUGGGCGUAAAGCGUGCGCAGGCGGUUUUGUAAGCCAGAUGUGAAAUCCCCGGGCUUAACCUGGGAAUGGCAUUUGGGACUGCAAGGCUUGAGUGCGGCAGAGGAGACUGGAAUUCCUGGUGUAGCAGUGAAAUGCGUAGAGAUGUGGAGGAACACCGAUGGCGAAGGCAGCCCCCUGGGUUAACACUGACGCUCAGGCACGAAAGCGUGGGGAGCAAACAGG